CGGGUGUAGCUCAGUGGUAGAGCGCUACCUUGCCAAGGUAGCUGUCGACGGUUCGAAUCCGUUCACCC
This 68-nucleotide transfer RNA is filed under the name marine eukaryotic metagenome. It matches the Rfam family "tRNA". From Rfam's summary of the family: Transfer RNA (tRNA) molecules are approximately 80 nucleotides in length. Their secondary structure includes four short double-helical elements and three loops (D, anti-codon, and T loops). Further hydrogen bonds mediate the characteristic L-shaped molecular structure. tRNAs have two regions of fundamental functional importance: the anti-codon, which is responsible for specific mRNA codon recognition, and the 3' end, to which the tRNAs corresponding amino acid is attached (by aminoacyl-tRNA synthetases). tRNAs cope with the degeneracy of the genetic code in two manners: having more than one tRNA (with a specific anti-codon) for a particular amino acid; and 'wobble' base-pairing, i.e. permitting non-standard base-pairing at the 3rd anti-codon position. The record is from RNAcentral.